This is a non-coding RNA of Paramuricea clavata, 846 nucleotides long. The record is from the annotation of a GenBank genome assembly. Lineage: Eukaryota; Metazoa; Cnidaria; Anthozoa; Malacalcyonacea; Plexauridae.
UUUUUCCACCCCUGGUGGUAAUCUUAUUUCUUUAAGCUUUUGCAGUUGACUUCAUGCAAUAUGUAGCUUACUUUUCAUCCCCCAAUGCACUCGUUGUUGAAAAUUAAUAAUACAGCAUUGUUUAAUAGUUUUCAGCUAUCAUUCAGAUUUUCAAGGGUGGGGGAUUGCCCUCCUCCCACCCCCUAGAGUCUGCCACUGUUGAGGAGGGUGUUGUGUUGGCAGCAACAUCACCAUCUGGAGUAUAAUUAAGGAUUUGUGGAGGAUUAGUAGCACAAACACUGUAUAAUGGUCCAAACAAGCCGGGAAAAUAUAUUUCCCUGCAAGAUGUAUAGAAAUUUCUUGCGAUGAUUUUUGGUUAAAAUUUCCUGGCAGCAUUCCCACCUUCAUUGUCACAUGCCGGACAGGACUGGUACCAGGCUUUUAGCCAGAAGGGCGUCCUGGGACGCCCCUAGAACAAAACAUGGACGCCCAAAUUCUGGGGAAAAAGGGAAAUUAUUUUCAAUUAUUUCCCUAAGUAUAUUAAUUUAAUAUAUCUGAAACGAAAUAGCUUCAAUUCUCAUUAUUAUUAUUAUACAUUUGACAUUUUGAUCAAGUUGAUGGUGAUAUGAAGUAACGUAAACUUCAAAGGUUUUCCAGAGGAACGUUUUCUCGACCCCCCCCCCCUUUACUGUAGAUGUAUUGUGCCAAAAUUGGACGCCCUCUUUUAGGACCCUGGCUAAAAGCCUGACUGGUACCAAACUUCCUAAAGUAUAGUGCCUCAGUUGGCAAGAGUGAAUGUCAGUGGUAACUCUCAACUAAAUCUCUUUGUAUAUAUCUAACAUUGUAAAAGUGAUUUUUGUAAUUACA